Molecule: long non-coding RNA, 520 nt
Organism: Symphalangus syndactylus (siamang)
Lineage: Eukaryota; Metazoa; Chordata; Mammalia; Primates; Hylobatidae
Source: RefSeq, a predicted model, not a curated record
AAAUUUUAAGUUAGAACUGAUGCAUCUCAGGCGGUUAGAGAAACAGAAUAUCUGGUCAACAUCCAGGCUCAUCUCUCACCACAAAUAGAAUCAGUAAGUCUAUGAUGAGCUAUCACAUGACUGAAGAUAUUUUUCUGGCUUACUAGAACAUACUUGAGGGCUGGAUUGGACAAACCUGUCUAAAGAAACUAAAAGGACCAAGCAGAGUUUGCAGGCAACUAAUCCUCACUGAAUUGGAUCAAACAGACAGGCACAAUCAAUUUGACAAGAGCAAGCAAUGCCAGUUCUGCUCAAUCUUCCCUCAAUGAGCAGCAGAGGAGAGAGGGGGAAAAAGAGAAAGAAGGAAAGAAAAUCCAGGCAUGCCUACACCCAAGAUAGCUUAGUACAGGAAAAGAUGAAAAGACAAGUUGAAAUAUAUAUGCUGGCAGGUGGAAGCGCUUGCUGUCAGAGGGAGAGUCUGAAAACACCACAAUGGUACCAAACACAUGAAGCCUUCAGACACUGAGGGGUGUUGAAGGGA